Molecule: long non-coding RNA, 1009 nt
Filed under: Olea europaea subsp. europaea
Lineage: Eukaryota; Viridiplantae; Streptophyta; Magnoliopsida; Lamiales; Oleaceae
Source: RNAcentral
CGUAGGGAAGGGAAUCAGGCUCGGGAACGAGAGCGGGGAUAUUACCGUCAUGGUACACAAUCUCCCCCUCGCCACGAAGAGCGCCUCUUCCGAAAUAUUAAGUUGGAUGCCCCUACAUUUGAUGGUUGUCUAGAUCCUAGUGCGUUCAAUCAAUGGGUUAGAGAUAUGGAUCGCUUCUUUGCAUGGUAUGGGGUCCCGGAAGACCGGAGGGUACAAUUUGCUAGUUUGAAGUUAACUGGCACUGCUCAGCUCUUUUGGGAGAGUGUUGAGGACCUCCUUGAAAGGCGUCAUGCUCCCCCUGUUGGGAGCUGGGAUGAAAUGAAGCGCCGCCUUCAAGAAAAAUAUUUACCCCAAUCUUAUAGGGGUAACUUGCUGGAUCAAUGGAACGUACUUACACAAGGCAAUCGACCUGUGACUGAAUAUGUUGCUCAGUUUGAUGAGUUUCGAAUGAAAUGUCAGGUUGUUGAGGAUGAAGUUAUGACUUUGAGUAGGUUUAGGCAAGGUUUAAGAGACGAACUUAGGCGCGAGCUUGUCCUUAGGGGUGUCACCACUCUCGACCACGCCUACUCUUUCGUUCGGGAUUAUGAAUUAGUGACUAGGACACCGUAUAGAAAUCGUAGUGACUCCCGCACUACAACCUCAUCUGCAUCCACGCCAUCCCCUAAGUCUAUUCUAGGUCCUCCUCCCUCUCAUACUAUCCCUGCAUCGGAUAGCAAAGGUAGAGGUUCUGAGGUUUCAAGGACAUCCUCCCGUUUGCAAUGCUUCAACUGUAAGGGUUUUGGUCACAUUGCUUCUAAGUGCCCUAGCCGAGCCCUAGUUCUGGACGAACGUGAGGAUAUAGUCGUCGAACCACUAGAGGAUCAGGUUUAUGAGCCUAAGUUAGAAGAGUUUGAAGACUUGGAGGACAGUGAGGAUACCUUCUUAGGUUGUAUUCAGGCUAGUCCCAUUAUCCCACAUACACCCAGAGUCGGUGUCGUCCGUUGCACCCUCACCCAGCCUAAGGAUGCCG